This 906-nucleotide ribosomal RNA is filed under the name Escherichia coli. RNAcentral describes it as "partial 23S ribosomal RNA". It matches the Rfam family "Bacterial large subunit ribosomal RNA", at positions 245 to 1191 of the family's 2925-position model. Lineage: Bacteria; Pseudomonadati; Pseudomonadota; Gammaproteobacteria; Enterobacterales; Enterobacteriaceae. The record is from RNAcentral.
AGCGGCGAGCGAACGGGGAGCAGCCCAGAGCCUGAAUCAGUGUGUGUGUUAGUGGAAGCGUCUGGAAAGGCGUGCGAUACAGGGUGACAGCCCCGUACACAAAAAUGCACAUAUUGUGAGCUCGAUGAGUAGGGCGGGACACGUGGUAUCCUGUCUGAAUAUGGGGGGACCAUCCUCCAAGGCUAAAUACUCCUGACUGACCGAUAGUGAACCAGUACCGUGAGGGAAAGGCGAAAAGAACCCCGGCGAGGGGAGUGAAAAAGAACCUGAAACCGUGUACGUACAAGCAGUGGGAGCACGCUUAGGCGUGUGACUGCGUACCUUUUGUAUAAUGGGUCAGCGACUUAUAUUCUGUAGCAAGGUUAACCGAAUAGGGGAGCCGAAGGGAAACCGAGUCUUAACUGGGCGUUAAGUUGCAGGGUAUAGACCCGAAACCCGGUGAUCUAGCCAUGGGCAGGUUGAAGGUUGGGUAACACUAACUGGAGGACCGAACCGACUAAUGUUGAAAAAUUAGCGGAUGACUUGUGGCUGGGGGUGAAAGGCCAAUCAAACCGGGAGAUAGCUGGUUCUCCCCGAAAGCUAUUUAGGUAGCGCCUCGUGAAUUCAUCUCCGGGGGUAGAGCACUGUUUCGGCAAGGGGGUCAUCCCGACUUACCAACCCGAUGCAAACUGCGAAUACCGGAGAAUGUUAUCACGGGAGACACACGGCGGGUGCUAACGUCCGUCGUGAAGAGGGAAACAACCCAGACCGCCAGCUAAGGUCCCAAAGUCAUGGUUAAGUGGGAAACGAUGUGGGAAGGCCCAGACAGCCAGGAUGUUGGCUUAGAAGCAGCCAUCAUUUAAAGAAAGCGUAAUAGCUCACUGGUCGAGUCGGCCUGCGCGGAAGAUGUAACGGGGCUAAACCAUG